UGAGGAUGCAUGUGAAGACCUUCAAUUAGUAAGUGGAUGUGAAUGGGAGAAUCUGGGACCUCUUGACUCUCACCAAGGAGAGAACUUGGUUUCAAAGGCCUAAUAGAGAAAAGGAUGAAGAAAUAUUAGGCACAAGUGAAAAGGGAAGGUUUUCUGGUCCUUUUUGGUACCAUAGCUAUAAUAAUAAAGCAGCUACCUUCUCAGAAGUGCUAAAGGUCUGGACAGAAUGUCCCCAAAGAUAUGCUACAAAACAUCAUCCCAUGGUGUAAACAAGAGUGAACUCAUGUCCUGUGCACCCUGUGCAAAAUUGUUCCCAUGGAUC
Molecule: long non-coding RNA, 322 nt
Organism: Gavialis gangeticus (Gharial)
Lineage: Eukaryota; Metazoa; Chordata; Crocodylia; Gavialidae
Exons: 3
Source: RefSeq, a predicted model, not a curated record